This 451-nucleotide ribosomal RNA is filed under the name uncultured organism. RNAcentral describes it as "partial 16S ribosomal RNA". It matches the Rfam family "Bacterial small subunit ribosomal RNA", at positions 330 to 797 of the family's 1533-position model. The record is from RNAcentral.
CGUACACUCCUGCGGGAGGCAGCAGUGGGGAAUAUUGGACAAUGGGCGCAAGCCUGAUCCAGCCAUGCCGCGUGAGUGAUGAAGGCCCUAGGGUUGUAAAGCUCUUUCACCGGAGAAGAUAAUGACGGUAUCCGGAGAAGAAGCCCCGGCUAACUUCGUGCCAGCAGCCGCGGUAAUACGAAGGGGGCUAGCGUUGUUCGGAAUUACUGGGCGUAAAGCGCACGUAGGCGGAUCGAUCAGUCAGGGGUGAAAUCCCAGGGCUCAACCCUGGAACUGCCUUUGAUACUGUCGAUCUGGAGUAUGGAAGAGGUGAGUGGAAUUCCGAGUGUAGAGGUGAAAUUCGUAGAUAUUCGGAGGAACACCAGUGGCGAAGGCGGCUCACUGGUCCAUUACUGACGCUGAGGUGCGAAAGCGUGGGGAGCAAACAGGAUUAGAAACCCGUGUAGUCCCA